Molecule: non-coding RNA, 442 nt
Organism: Odocoileus virginianus texanus
Lineage: Eukaryota; Metazoa; Chordata; Mammalia; Artiodactyla; Cervidae
Source: RefSeq, a predicted model, not a curated record
GGCCAAGGGAGUCAUCUAGAAAUAUCCUGCUCAUCUUGUUUGCACUGAAACUCCGCAGUCAGAGCUCUGCCCCUGAGCUAAACUCCCACAGCGUCACACAGAAGGUCUGACUGCUCUGGAUGCUUCGUAUCAAUGGGAUCACAAAAGGUACAACCUGCGGCCACAUGUCAGCAGCACGUUUCCCAGGCUCCUUGUGCUGUGCCAGCCUCUCCCUCUCAGCCAGCCUUGGACACCCAGCAGGCGGCCGUCGUGGGGGCACCCGCUGCCCAUGGAGGGGGAGCUGCAUUUGAAGUCGCCCUGAGCCAGAUGAAUAAGCUUUUCAUGGUCCCCCACCCACCCACGCUGGACUCAGCCAGAAUGUCAAAUGGCUGACACUUCUGGGAGUUUAUGCGAAGGACAGAAUGAGAGAAGGGUCAGAUGGUCACCAUGGCCUUCCUUAUCA